Triticum aestivum (bread wheat) is the source of this 203-nucleotide long non-coding RNA. RefSeq lists it as uncharacterized. The record is from RefSeq and is a predicted model, not a curated record. The transcript has 3 exons. Lineage: Eukaryota; Viridiplantae; Streptophyta; Magnoliopsida; Poales; Poaceae.
GGGAAAUGGACAACUCCAACCAUUCCAAACCAGUUCAAGGGGCCAUGGAAACAAAAGAAUAUCAAGAACCUGAACAACAAGGGCAAAGUGGAAGGCACCUCUGGUCGACAACCCAGAUGCUCAAGUGUGAAAUGUGAAGCAAGUGUGAAGCCGUGAAGUGUGAAGCCGUCAAGUUCUACUUAGUAAAGAGUAGCAUAUUGUAG